AUGUGUCCCUGUGCUUCCUUGUUUCAUGCUACAUUGCUGUGCUUAAUUGAAUUAAAAGCUGCUUGGGACCAUGUUUUUGGUUUUGCUCUGUGUGCACACAAUAUGAAUUUAAAACCCUUUCCUUUUUUUUUUUUCUUUUUCUCUUUUUUUUUUUUUUUNUUUUGGGGGGGGGGGUUGUGUGGGCUGGGGUCUUCUGCAUUUUUUUAUUGCAUUUCCCCAUUCCUAUUCAUUCCUUAUCUUAGGAUUUCUCAUCCUCUGAAGCACCAGAGUAGCUACCACGAGUUCACCUACUGCUGCUACGUGGGAAUGCCUGCAGCAGGCACGAGACUCACACAUUAUGGGGACAUCUCAGGUUCUGCCUGGCAUACUGCAGAAGCAUUGCUGUAUUUUGCCUGACAGGAACACAGAGAUAUGAAUUACCGGGUGUGUAACGAGAUUAAUUGAAGAAAAGUCUGGAGGGAAUUUUACAGAUGUCCUAGUCAUGAGAAACUUUGCAAAAAGCUUGUGAAGCUGCCCACAGAUUUGAAGCUGUGAGAAAUCUGAAAUGCCACAGAUGACUAUGACGCUACUUAAAAUUGCUGAGGUUAAUGGACUGCAUGGUAGGUAUUAUGAGUGUCACUUAACUGCACUGCUUUUACAGAACAUAGUUUUCCUCUUCUAAUAAUGUUAAUUAUGAAGCACACAUAAUCUGAGACAACAUAAUGGAUGCUAUUGUUCCAUUUGUGAAAACACUUGAUGUUUAUCAGUGCUAGUGAGGGAUAGCAUGCUGCAUAAUUCUGCUGUAUUUAAUUUUAUAUUGUACAUAAUAUGACACUACUGCAGAUACGCUUUUUUUGCAUGCCAGUAGAACACCACAGUUUUCAUCUUCACAUUAGAAUAUGCAAUACAAAUCUGUUCCCACUUUUAUUAUAGUAAAGAAUUCAGAGUGAACCUCAUCCAAUACAUUCAUUAUUUUAGAAAAUGAGUGAAGAUUUUCUUCAGCCUAGUGAGUAUUCUUUCCUAAAAAAAUUUAGUUUGGUCUUCAAUACCUGAACAUUUCUAAUUAGAUUUUUUUUUUUUCCCCAACAGGUCUUCUGUCUUAUCUGCUGGAGAACUACUUUGGACUGAAUCAAGAUAUAAAAAAAAUUACCAAAUAUCAUGAAACUAAUGUCAUGGGCAUAAGAGCUGGUAGACAGCAACAGCUACAAAGAGUAGAAGUCUACGUUCAAAACAGUCUUGUCAAAAAAAGGUUUUGAACUUUAAGCCCCUUCCUUUCCUUUUCCUCUGGGAAGUGUAGAUGACAGCAUUUGAAUUUUAUCCUGGAUAUACAAAUAUGUAUGUUGUAAUAAAGUCCUGUGAACAUUUAUACA
RNAcentral lists this long non-coding RNA (1349 nucleotides) under Anser brachyrhynchus (Pink-footed goose). Its description in RNAcentral is "lncRNA (ENSABRG00000020614.1)". Lineage: Eukaryota; Metazoa; Chordata; Aves; Anseriformes; Anatidae. The record is from RNAcentral.